GACGAACGCUGGCGGCGUGCUUAACACAUGCAAGUCGAACGGAAAGGCCCUUCGGGGUACUCGAGUGGCGAACGGGUGAGUAACACGUGGGUGAUCUGCCCUGCACUUUGGGAUAAGCCUGGGAAACUGGGUCUAAUACCGAAUAUGAUCAUCGGCUUCAUGGUCGGUGGUGGAAAGCUUUUGCGGUGUGGGAUGGGCCCGCGGCCUAUCAGCUUGUUGGUGGGUAAUGGCCUACCAAGGCGACGACGGGUAGCCGGCCUGAGAGGGUGACCGGCCACACUGGGACUGAGAUACGGCCCAGACUCCUACGGGAGGCAGCAGUGGGGAAUAUUGCACAAUGGGCGCAAGCCUGAUGCAGCGACGCCGCGUGAGGGAUGACGGCCUUCGGGUUGUAAACCUCUUUCAGCACAGACGAAGCGCAAGUGACGGUAUGUGCAGAAGAAGGACCGGCCAACUACGUG
This 461-nucleotide ribosomal RNA is filed under the name uncultured bacterium. RNAcentral's name for it is "partial 16S ribosomal RNA". It matches the Rfam family "Bacterial small subunit ribosomal RNA", at positions 28 to 507 of the family's 1533-position model. The record is from RNAcentral.